RNAcentral lists this ribosomal RNA (395 nucleotides) under uncultured bacterium. Its description in RNAcentral is "bacterial SSU rRNA". It matches the Rfam family "Bacterial small subunit ribosomal RNA", at positions 29 to 409 of the family's 1533-position model. The record is from RNAcentral.
AACGAACGCUGGCGGCGUGCCUAACACAUGCAAGUCGUGCGAGAAAGUUCCUUCGGGAGCGAGUAAAGCGGCGCACGGGUGAGUAACACGUAGGUAACCUGCCCCCCAGUCUGGAACAACUAGAGGAAACUCUAGCUAAUGCCGGAUGAGACCACGAUCCCUUCGGGGGUUGCGGCCAAAGAUGGCCUCUACUUGUAAGCUAUCGCUGAGGGAUGGGCCUGCGGCCAUUAGCUUGUUGGUGAGGUAACGGCUCACCAAGGCUGUGAUGGCUAGCUGGUCUGAGAGGAUGACCAGCCACACUGGGACUGAGACACGGCCCAGACUCCACGGGAGGCAGCAGUGGGGAAUAUUGCGCAAUGGGCGAAAGCCUGACGCAGCGACGCCGCGUGGGUGAU